GCCUAGGUGGCUCAGUCAGUUAAGCAUCUGACUUGGGCUCAGGUCAUGAUCUCAUGGUUCAUGAGUUCGAGCCCCACCUUGGGCU
Molecule: transfer RNA, 85 nt
Filed under: Felis catus (domestic cat)
Lineage: Eukaryota; Metazoa; Chordata; Mammalia; Carnivora; Felidae
Rfam family: tRNA
About the family: Transfer RNA (tRNA) molecules are approximately 80 nucleotides in length.
Source: Rfam by way of RNAcentral